RNAcentral lists this ribosomal RNA (514 nucleotides) under uncultured bacterium. Its description in RNAcentral is "partial 16S ribosomal RNA". It matches the Rfam family "Bacterial small subunit ribosomal RNA", at positions 29 to 523 of the family's 1533-position model. The record is from RNAcentral.
AAUGAACGCUGGCGGCGUGCCUAAUACAUGCAAGUCGAGCGAACAGAUGAGAAGCUUGCUUCUCUGAUGUUAGCGGCGGACGGGUGAGUAACACGUGGGUAACCUACCUAUAAGACUGGGAUAACUCCGGGAAACCGGGGCUAAUACCGGAUAAUAUUUUGAACCGCAUGGUUCGAUAGUGAAAGACGGUUUCGGCUGUCACUUAUAGAUGGACCCGCGCCGUAUUAGCUAGUUGGUAGGGUAACGGCUUACCAAGGCGACGAUACGUAGCCGACCUGAGAGGGUGAUCGGCCACACUGGAACUGAGACACGGUCCAGACUCCUACGGGAGGCAGCAGUAGGGAAUCUUCCGCAAUGGGCGAAAGCCUGACGGAGCAACGCCGCGUGAGUGAUGAAGGUCUUCGGAUCGUAAAACUCUGUUGUUAGGGAAGAACAAAUUUGUUAGUAACUGAACAAGUCUUGACGGUACCUAACCAGAAAGCCACGGCUAACUACGUGCCAGCCGCCGCUGUAA